Molecule: ribosomal RNA, 254 nt
Filed under: uncultured bacterium
Lineage: Bacteria
Description: partial 16S ribosomal RNA
Rfam family: Bacterial small subunit ribosomal RNA
Source: RNAcentral
UACGUAGGCAGCGAGCGUUGUUCGGAUUUACUGGGCGUAAAGGGUGUGUAGGCGGUUGUUUAAGUUUGGUGUGAAAUCUCCCGGCUCAACUGGGAGGGUGCGCCGAAUACUGAAUGACUUCGAGUGCGGGAGAGGAGAGCGGAAUUCCUGGUGUAGCGGUGAAAUGCGUAGAUAUCAGGAGGAACACCGGUGGUGUGGACGGCUCUCUGGACCGUAACUGACGCUGAGACACGAAAGCGUGGGUAGCAAACAGG